GGAAGUAAAAGUCGUAACAAGGUUUCCGUAGGUGAACCUGCGGAAGGAUCAUUACCACACCUAAAAACAUUCCACGUGAACCGUAUCAACCCCAAGUUGGGGGUUUCAUUGGCGGCGGCUGCUGGCAUCUUUUUGCUGGCUGGCUACUGCUGAGAGAACCCUAUCGUGAGCGUUCUGACCUUGGUUGGAGCUAGUAACUUAUUAUAAACCCAUUCCUAAUACUGAAUAUACUGUGGGGACGAAAGUCUCUGCUUUUAACUAGAUAGCAACUUUCAGCAGUGGAUGUCUAGGCUCGCACAUCGAUGAAGACGCUGCGAACUGCGAUACGUAAUACGAAUUGCGGAAUUCAGUGAGUCAUCGAAAUUUUGAACGCAUAUUGCACUUUCGGGUUAUCCCUGGAAGUAUGCCUGUAUCAGUGUCCAUACAUCAAACUUGGUUUUCUUCUUUCCGUGUAGUCGGUGGAGGAUAUGCCAGAUGUGAAGUGUCUUGCGGCUGGUUUUUUUGAAUCGGCUGCGAGUCCUUUGAAAUGUAUGGAACUGACUCUCUUUUGUUCGAAAAGCGUGGCGUUGCUGGUUGUGAAGGCUGCUAGUAUGACUAGUCGGCGACCGGUUUGUCUGCUAUGGCAUGAAUGGAAGAGUGUUCGAUUCGCGGUAUGGUUGGCUUCGGCUGAACAGGCGCGUAUUGGACGUUCAUCCCGCUGUGGCGUAUAACUGGUGAACCGUAGUUCAUGCAUGGCUUGGCGUUUGAAUCAGCUUUGCUGCUGCGAAGUAGAGUGACAGUUUUGGCUGUCGAGGGUCGACCUAUUUGAGAAAUUGUGCUGUGCGACUCGGUCACGUGGCAUCUCAAUUGGACCUGAUAUCAGGCAAGAUUACCCGCUGAACUUAAGCAUAUCAAUAAGCGGAGGA
This 905-nucleotide ribosomal RNA is filed under the name Peronospora tabacina. RNAcentral describes it as "eukaryotic LSU rRNA". The stretch from base 268 to 421 matches the Rfam family "5.8S ribosomal RNA". Lineage: Eukaryota; Oomycota; Peronosporomycetes; Peronosporales; Peronosporaceae. The record is from RNAcentral.